This 222-nucleotide ribosomal RNA is filed under the name uncultured bacterium. RNAcentral describes it as "partial 16S ribosomal RNA". It matches the Rfam family "Bacterial small subunit ribosomal RNA", at positions 524 to 743 of the family's 1533-position model. The record is from RNAcentral.
UACGUAGGGGUUACACGUUAAUCGGAAUUACUGGGCGUAAAGCGUGCGCAGGCGGUUUUGUAAGUCUGUCGUGAAAUCCCCCGGGCUCAACCUGGGGAAUUGCGAUGGAGACUGCAAGGCUAGAAUCUGGCAGAGGGGGGUAGAAUUCCACGUGUAGCAGUGAAAUGCGUAGAGAUGUGGAGGAACACCGAUGGCGAAGGCAGCCCCCUGGGUCAAGAUUGA